Molecule: long non-coding RNA, 299 nt
Organism: Dermacentor silvarum
Lineage: Eukaryota; Metazoa; Arthropoda; Arachnida; Ixodida; Ixodidae
Exons: 3
Source: RefSeq, a predicted model, not a curated record
GCACAUUUGACACUUCGGGGAGGAAGACCAGAGGUCACACUGCCCGGUCUCGAGAAUUUCACGCAAGACCAGCUAUUCUUUCUGUCGUUUGCUACCGCAUGGUGUGAAAACGAAGACGCUGCACGGUCGCGUCCUUUAAACCCACACCCACGUAGCAGAUACAGAGUCAAUGUACCACUGAAAAACAUGGAAGAGUUCUCUGCCGCCUUCCGCUGCCCUAAAGGCUCUCCUAUGCGACUUCCAGAUGAAGAAAGAUGCGUAAUGUGGUGAUGCUUAGAGCAUAUGCAUCAUAAAUUCAG